UUGUUUCGAUUUACUCGUAAACUCCGACGCAAAGAUGCAGUGUUUUGAUGGUCCUCCGGGGGCGCCCGGCAGGGUCGCCCCCGAAGCAACGGGAUGAGUUCACAGAGGGUUGGAGGUCGGACCCGGAGGCCCUCGCUCGGUAAUGAUCCCUCCGCAGGUUCACCUACGGAGA
This 172-nucleotide unclassified non-coding RNA is filed under the name uncultured fungus. Its description in RNAcentral is "sequence contains ITS1". Lineage: Eukaryota; Fungi. The record is from RNAcentral.